This 513-nucleotide ribosomal RNA is filed under the name uncultured bacterium. Its description in RNAcentral is "bacterial SSU rRNA". It matches the Rfam family "Bacterial small subunit ribosomal RNA", at positions 355 to 859 of the family's 1533-position model. The record is from RNAcentral.
UGGGGAAUUUUGGACAAUGGGGGCAACCCUGAUCCAGCCAUGCCGCGUGAGUGAAGAAGGCCUUCGGGUUGUAAAGCUCUUUUGGCGGGGAAGAAAAGGCAACGGCUAAUAUCCGUUGUUGAUGACGGUACCCGCAUAAGAAGCACCGGCUAAAUACGUGCCAGCAGCCGCGGUAAUACGUAGGGUGCGAGCGUUUAUCUGAAUUAUUGGGGGUAAAGCGUGCGCAGGCGGUUUUGUAAGACAGACGUGAAAUCCCCGGGCUCAACCUGGGAAAUGCGUUUGUGACUGCGAGGCUAGAGUACGGCAGAGGGGGGUAGAAUUCCACGUGUAGCACUGAAAUGCGUAGAGAUGUGGAGGAAAACCGAUGGCGAAGGCAGCCCCCCGGGUUAGUACUGACGCUCAUGCACGAAAGCGUGGGGAGCAAACAGGAUUAGAUACCCCGGUAGUCCACGCCCUAAACGAUGUCAAAUAGGUGUUGGAAGGGUUAAACCUUUUAGUACCGCAGCUAACGCG